Pantherophis guttatus is the source of this 640-nucleotide long non-coding RNA. RefSeq lists it as uncharacterized. NCBI's taxonomy places the organism in Eukaryota, Metazoa, Chordata, Lepidosauria, Squamata, Colubridae. The record is from RefSeq and is a predicted model, not a curated record.
ACGCCUCCGAAGGCAUGAUAAACGAUUGCAGCAGCUCAGGAGGCGUGCUAGGGAUUAGAACUGAGUCACUGGACCACACCCCAGAGACUAUAUAAUAGAGGGUGGUAGCCAGUGAUCCCUGUGACGAACAAAAAUAAACCUUGGAUAGUCACUAAAGCCUCGUCCGAAACUGCUGAGAGGAAUAUUAUUUCUGUUGGACUCUUAGAAAAAACCAAGAAGAACAAGCUGAACUUGAGCAGACUGCAGUUACCAAAUCUGGAAUUCCUGUAAUAUAGCUGGGAAUUUGGGCUGAUGCAGUUACUUCUCUAUCAUCCAUCCAUACCUUUAGGCUGAAAGGAGCAGCUGUCUUAGCCAAUAGCUACCUAAUGGCAGGAAAAGGACUAUGUUUGUAUGUCACUCUGGUAGGCUUUGCUUAAGCUGCUGUAGAAGAUAUUAUCUUGCACCCAAUUAAUUGGGAAGAUUCAACUUUAUUUUUUACCGUUCAGCUGAAAUUAAAUCUCUGUCUAUGUAGUUUAGUAUUGCCAAUGUGAGCAAAAUGUAGAUUGCUUCUCAAACCAGUUCUUUAUGACAGACAGGAAUACCUGUCUGUAUUCCUGUCUACAUUACAUUACAAUCUACAUUACAGUGUUAAUUGGAAAGG